UACGGGGGGGGCAAGCGUUGUUCGGAAUUACUGGGCGUAAAGGGCUCGUAGGUGGCCAACUAAGUCGGACGUGAAAUCCCUCGGCUUAACCGGGGAACUGCGUCCGAUACUGGUUGGCUUGAGUUUGGGAGAGGGAUGCGGAAUUCCAGGUGUAGCGGUGAAAUGCGUAGAGAUCGGGAGGAACACCAGUGGCGAAAGCGGCUCUCUGGUCCAAAACUGACGCUGAGGGGCGAAAGCGUGGGGAGCGAACGGG
Molecule: ribosomal RNA, 253 nt
Filed under: uncultured bacterium
Lineage: Bacteria
Description: partial 16S ribosomal RNA
Rfam family: Bacterial small subunit ribosomal RNA
Source: RNAcentral